UACGAAUGGGGCAAGCGUUGUUCGGAAUCACUGGGCGUAAAGCGUGUGUAGGCGGUUAAUCAAGUCAGAAGUGAAAUCCCAGGGCUUAACCCUGGAAUUGCUUUUGAAACUGAUUGGCUAGAGUACUGGAGAGGUUAGCAGAAUUCCGAGUGUAGAGGUGAAAUGCGCAGAUAUCAGGAAGAACACCCGUGGCGAAAGCGGCUCUCUGGAACGGUACUGACGCUGAGACGCGAAAGCGUGGGGAGCGAACAGG
This 253-nucleotide ribosomal RNA is filed under the name uncultured bacterium. RNAcentral's name for it is "partial 16S ribosomal RNA". It matches the Rfam family "Bacterial small subunit ribosomal RNA", at positions 524 to 776 of the family's 1533-position model. The record is from RNAcentral.